RNA transcript from Hippocampus zosterae (dwarf seahorse), 5413 nucleotides. It is a transcript of the gene named crumbs cell polarity complex component 1, with no coding region annotated. Lineage: Eukaryota; Metazoa; Chordata; Actinopteri; Syngnathiformes; Syngnathidae. The transcript has 14 exons. The record is from RefSeq and is a predicted model, not a curated record.
GCUCCUGAUGGUGCGCCAAUGGGGAGUGGAAGCGCGUGUUCAAGUGAUUUUGGAGUUGAAAACAGAUGAGACCCUGCAGGCAGAUCAGAGAAAUCUCCUUUGUGGCAACACUUUGAGGCUCAAAACAAGCAGGAUGAUUCCCUGUCACGAUUAUGGAUGUAAUUUGUUAUUGCAGAUUUAAAUCUCUUGUCUGGACAAUUCUCAUCUCGUCAUUGUUUGUGAUCUACGGUGCAACUCCUUUAGGGCACCCGCCAGGUGUGGAUUUGUGCUCACCAAAUCCUUGCCAAAACCGAGCCUUGUGUCAAAACCGCAAGGAUGGCUACGGAUGCUUCUGUGUGCCGGGCUUCCAGGGUGCUCACUGUCAGAUUGAUGUCAACGAAUGUAUCUCCCAGCCCUGCAUGAACGGAGGCACCUGUAUAGACAAAGUGGGCCGCUACUCCUGUCUAUGUGCCACAGGGUUCACUGGGGCCACUUGUGAAGUCUCGAUUGAUGAGUGUCAAUUACAGCCGUGUCUCAAUGGCGGCAGUUGCCACGGCAACACUGGUGGCUUCAUUUGCACCUGCCAGCCCGGUUUCCAAGGACACCGGUGUGAAAUCAACAUCGAUGAAUGCCAAGACAAGCCGUGCCAAAAUGGGGCUAUGUGUAUAGAUGAAGAGAAUGGAUAUAGCUGCGACUGCUCAGAAACAGCCUUUACUGGUCGACGUUGUGAGGGCCUGAGACAACAAUGCUACUCUCAACCCUGUUUCAACAGUGCCACCUGUAUGGAGAGUCAGGAUCAUUACACCUGUCAAUGCUUGCCAGGGUUUGAGGGUACACUAUGUGAAAUAGAUAUCAAUGAGUGUGGCAGUAACCCGUGUUUGAACGGGGGCCGCUGCAUCGAGAGGUCAUGGCACGUCCUUUUUGGCAUCGAACCACUGCUACCUGAACGCUACGACCCACAGCACGCUGCAGGCUACAUCUGCAGCUGUCCUCCAGGAACAACAGGUUCUCUCUGCCAGGAGCUCAGAGACCACUGUGAUCCCAGUCCAUGUCUGAAUGGGGGGAGGUGUGAGAACCACAAUGGGGGCUACAUAUGUCACUGCAGUAAACAGCGUAGCAUACCCUACCUUUAUGGAGGUGCAAAGUGCGAUGUUCGGCUGGUGGGUUGUGACGGCCACGAGUGCCAGAACCAAGGCUCCUGCAAUCCCUUCCUGCUGGACGAAACUCACGGUUACACAUGCUCCUGCUCACCCGGAUACACCGGCCCCCUCUGCAAGACCCCCACCACCUUCUCAUUUGAACGUAGCGGCUACCUUCUGCUACAGAGCCCCUUUGUAGACGCUGAAAUCUCUUGCAACAUCACCCUCAGCUUCAAGACCGCUCUUCCCAGGGCUAUAUUAUUCCAGCGGAGCAUUCGGGGCCUGUUGCUGAGCCUGGAGCUGGAAGGGGGGCAGCUUCACCUCACACUUAGAAGGCAAGCUGUCGCCGGGCUCCAAGUGCAGAGUCAAAUUGGGGCUUUGGAGCUGUCCCACACAGUCACCGAUGGAGAAUGGCAUAGUGUCGAGGCAGUGCUCACAAACCGGGUGCUCAGUCUGAGACUCUUGAAUGAUGCGGUGGCAAAAUGUGAGAGGCAGUUGUGCUAUAAGGUGGCUCCAGUCCCAAAUAACUUGGAUGGGCUGGUGUCGCCCCCUCAGAACACCUUCAUUGGAGGGGUGCGAAAGGACUCAAGCGAGGACUCCUCACUUCCGCCAUUCAUUGGUUGCAUGCGGGAUGUCUUGGUGGACUGGCAACUGAUUGUCCCGGAGGAGUGGCUGAGCGACUCUGCAGUGAACGUUUCUCCUGGCUGCAGCCACCGCGAUCGCUGCUUGGAUGUGCCUUGCCAAAACAAUGGGCUGUGUGUCAACUUGUGGCAGAGCUACCAGUGCCUGUGUCCAAGGCCUUACGAGGGCCAAGACUGUGAAGAGGAAUAUGUGACUGCACGCUUCGGGAGCGAAGACUCGCUCAGUUUCGCUGCCUUCAACGUCACAGAUGACCUCGGUCAGGGCCUCUCAAUGUCUCUCUUCCUGCGUACACGGAAGCCUGGUGGCCUCCUGCUUGCUGUGGGCAACAGCAGCACGCAGUACCUGCGCGUGUGGCUGGAGGACGGAGUGGUCACUACUCAACUCGGGAACGUCAAGAGCCUGAGGGGCGAGAGCGCGGUCAAUGACGGUGAAGUUCACUUUGUGAAUGUGGAGGUGGUGAAGGGGCAAAUGACGCUGCACGUGGAUGCUCACAAACAAGCUGAGGUGGAGUCCAGGACAGAUGGGGUUCAAGCAGGAGACAUCGUCUACGUUGGGGGUCUGCUGAAGGGCGAGUCCACUGUUGCUUGGGGGGGACCUUUUAAAGGAUGCAUCCAAGACUUGCGGAUAAAUGACAGGAGGCUGCAGUUUUUUGGUUUGGACACUUCAGUGACAACGUUCCCUUUGCAAGUCAUGGAGAAUGUGACCGCCGGCUGCUCUGGAGACAACAUUUGCAGCAGGAACCCUUGUCUAAACGGCGGCAUGUGUUACAACAUGUGGGACGAUUUCACCUGCACGUGCCCACCCAGCACAGGAGGGCGACACUGUGAAGAUGUCAGAUGGUGCGAAUUGUCGCCUUGCCCCGCAGACGCUGAGUGCAAGAUACUCAACCAAGGAUAUGAAUGUUACUCCAAUGCCACUUUCCUGAAUGACAGCACUGUGCUGGUCUAUCGAGGAAAUGGACACAUAUUACGCAAUCUAACCAACCUCUCGGUGAACUUGCGCACUCGGAAACGCAGCGCAGCCAUCCUCCACGCCGAGAAGGGCCCUGCCUUUGUCACCCUCUCUGUCCAGGACGGCUUCCUCUUUAUGGAGCUUCAGAGCUCCACCAGAAAUGCAGGAGUGUCGGGGGAAGACGAGCGAGGGGAGUCCACAAUCAGCCUCAACAGCAUGAGACUUGUCAGUGACGGCGAAUGGCACAAUGUCCACUUGUUUAUGACGGCACCGUGGGCUAAUAUGUCUCAGUGGACUCUGGUGCUGGAUGAUGAAGUAGAUGAAGCCGUCACCUCCAGUGGUCAAGGGGGCAAUCUGGACUUCCUCAAGAAGGGAGUAGACAUCUUCCUGGGAGGUUUGGCGCCUGACGUCGGCUGGUCACUGGCAGGGUGUCUGGGCACGGUGGAGAUAGGCGGUAUUGCGCUGCCUUAUUUCAGCUCUUCUCAGGUGAACCUUCCACGCUUGCAGGAGGAGAAAUUUAUCCAUACGUCCCUCAAUCCUCCGCUGGUCGGUUGCAGCGGGGCGUCCGUAUGCACGCCCGACCCGUGCUUGAAUGGAGGGGCGUGCCAGGACUUAUUUAACUCCUACAACUGCAGCUGCGCUGAGGGCUGGGCAGGGAGGCACUGCGGCUUCUUCAUUGACACCUGCGCCUCCGGUCCUUGCCUCCACGGCAACUGCAGCAUCAAGGGGCUGAGCUACGAAUGCUCUUGCGAACUCGGAUACACGGGGGUAGACUGUGAGGAAGAGGUCGAUAGCUGUGAAAACCAUCUGUGCGCGCACGGAGGCACCUGCCUGCAUGGUCCUGACAGCUAUGCCUGUCUGUGUGCUGAAAACUACACCGGACCUCUCUGCAACGAACGGGUUGAAGAAAUUCCUUGGUACGUUGUUGUCAGAAAUAUGCGGCCCAAGCUUCCUGUGUCUGUGUGUGGAGAUGACCUCAAAAACUACACUUGCUUCAAUGGUGGCAACUGCACUGAGCGCGAGUUGUCAUGUGAUUGCCCGCCUGGCUUCGCUGGACACCGGUGCGAGCAGGAGGUGGACGAGUGCAAGUCCAACCCGUGUCUGAAUGGAGGCUACUGCCGCAACCUCAUCAACAAGUUCCUGUGCGUAUGCGACAUGAGCUACGCCGGCGACAUAUGCCAGACGGACUUGACCUCUGAAGGCGUGACGUCUGACCUGCUACUGGCCAUCAGUCUUGUGUCUGUCAUCCUGCUGCUGGUUCUCAUCCUGAUUUCGGCCGGACUGGUGGUCGCGUUGAACCGCCGAGCCAGCCACGGGACUUACAGCCCCAGCCGACAGGAGAAGGACGGAUCUCGGUUGGAGAUGUGGAGCAUCACUCAGCCUCCGCCCAUGGAGAGGCUCAUCUGAGCAGUGGAAAACAUCCGAGGAUGACCGAGGAAACGCCUGCGUCCUGGAGUGAGGCCUUCACAUUUGUUUAUGCACAUGCUGCCAAAUCGCCAUCUUGCUUUCAUCCAUCUUGCUGCACCUGCCACGCUCGGCGGCCUUCAUUCUCGAUAGAUUCCAGCUCACGAUGGAUGGAGUUUGUGUUUCUAAUCUAUAUUUGGAGGACAGAUGGAGCAAUGCUCUCCCAACAUGUUGUACACAUUGAAUACAUGCUGCUGUCACUUUUUUGUUGUUGUUGCUCCUGAAUGGUUCCAAUCAAAGUGGUCUUAAGGAAAAAGAAGGAAACCAGUGUUCGCAAUGUAUUAUUAUUUAAUGACUCUUAUCAAGCACCUUGAGUGUCCUAUUUUUUUUAAAGUCACAGGUGCAUGCGUAGGUAGAACCGUGGCAACAUUCUAAAACACUGUCAACGUGCUGUGCUGAAAAUGCAGUAUUUUAUCUCAAAGUGGUAGUGUGUUAAAUAAACAAAAACAUUUUUAGGACAUUUGUUUACUGCAGAGUCUCGAGUUGCAUCUGGAUUUACAGUGAUCCCUCGCUACUUUGAGGUUCACUUUUCGCGGUUUCAGUGCAUUUUCAGUGCAUUUUAAAUGAAUGCAAAAGCAUUCAUUAAAAAUAAAUACAUAAAUAAUGCCGCAAAAGGUUCGGGAGAGGCAGCCAAAGGCAGCAAAACAGCCAGUCACAUAAAGCAACAUAUACAGUACUACAUGUAUAUUUCAUGACUGUGUUUACUGUAUUUCGUUAUUUAUACACUAACCUAACCUAACUUAUACAUGUUUAAAUAUAUUAGUAUAUAGCAUUAAGUACUGUUAAUUACUACAAACAUGCAUGUAUACCAGUACAUUUGGCCUUAUAAAUAUUUAUACUCAUACACAUGUUCAUAUACCUAUAUGGAGGGUGGGGGGGUUUUGCUACUUAGCGGAUUUUCGUUUAUCGCGGGUGGUUUCGGUCCCCAUUAACCCCGAUAAACGAGGGAUCACUGUACUUGCAAAGACUGUUUUUUCUGUAUGUUCUUCACAAUAGAAGGCUUCAGAAAUAGAAAACAAAAGUUUGGGGCAUGCUGGAGCCUAUCCUGGACGUCAUUGGGCUGUAGUCAGAGUACACCCUUUAGUGGUUGCCACCCAAUUGGGGGGCCCACAUAGAUAAACAAGACAUUAAAGGCGGAGACUAGGCAAAAAACCCCACAUUAAUUUUAAGGAUAUUGAAAAAUAUUAAAUAAUGUAAAGAGCAUAACACUCAUGAAUCAUGCCUUGAGGGAAAUUGCU